This 465-nucleotide ribosomal RNA is filed under the name uncultured bacterium. Its description in RNAcentral is "bacterial SSU rRNA". It matches the Rfam family "Bacterial small subunit ribosomal RNA", at positions 338 to 795 of the family's 1533-position model. The record is from RNAcentral.
CCUACGGGCGGCAGCAGUGGGGAAUAUUGCACAACGGGCGCAAGCCUGAUGCAGCCAUGCCGCGUGUGUGAAGAAGGCCUUCGGGUUGUAAAGCACUUUCAGCGAGGAGGAAGGUGGUGAGCUUAAUACGCUCAUCAAUUGACGUUACUCGCAGAAGAAGCACCGGCUAACUCCGUGCCAGCAGCCGCGGUAAUGCGGAGGGUGCAAGCGUUAAUCGGAAUUACUGGGCGUAAAGCGCACGCAGGCGGUUCGUUAAGUCUGAUGUGAAAUCCCCGGGCUCAACCUGGGAACUGCAUUUGAAACUGGCAAGCUAGAGUCUCGUAGAGGGGGGUAGAAUUCCAGGUGUAGCGGUGAAAUGCGUAGAGAUCUGGAGGAAUACCGGUGGCGAAGGCGGCCCCCUGGACGAAGACUGACGCUCAGGUGCGAAAGCGUGGGGAGCAAACAGGAUUAGAUACCCGAGUAGUC